RNAcentral lists this ribosomal RNA (393 nucleotides) under uncultured bacterium. Its description in RNAcentral is "bacterial SSU rRNA". It matches the Rfam family "Bacterial small subunit ribosomal RNA", at positions 32 to 524 of the family's 1533-position model. The record is from RNAcentral.
AACGUUAAUGAUUAGCCUAACACAUGCAAGUUAAAAUUAAUUAGCGCACGGGUGUGUAACAUACAGAAAACAGUACCGAGAACAUUAUUAAAUAUAUGGGAAGAUUAAAUCAACUCGGCAAUGGUCUGUAAAAGAUUAAGUAGUUGGUAUAAAAAGCCUACCAAGCUUAUGAUCUUUAGCUGGUCUGUGAGGAUGAGCAGCCACACUGGAAUUGAAAAACGGUCCAGACUUUAUUUUAAAGGCAGCAGUGGGGAAUAUUGGGCAAUGAGCGAUAGCUUGACCCAGCUAAAUCAUAUAUGUGAAGAAGGCUUAGCUGUAAAGCAUAAAUAAAUUUUAAAUAAUGAUAAAAUACUAAAUAGUCCUGGCUAAUUUCGUGCCAGCAGCCGCGGUAAG